Molecule: ribosomal RNA, 1497 nt
Filed under: uncultured bacterium
Lineage: Bacteria
Description: partial 16S ribosomal RNA
Rfam family: Bacterial small subunit ribosomal RNA
Source: RNAcentral
AGAGUUUGAUCCUGGCUCAGAUUGAACGCUGGCGGCAUGCCUUACACAUGCAAGUCGAACGGCAGCACGGGAGCAAUCCUGGUGGCGAGUGGCGAACGGGGGAGAUAUAUCGGAACGUGCCCAGUCGUGGGGGAUAACGCAGCGAAAGCUGUGCUAAUACCGCAUACGAUCUCUGGAGGGAAAAGGGGGACUCGCAAGGGCCUCGCGCGAUUGGAGCGGCCGAUAUCAGAUUAGCUAGUUGGUGGGGUAAAAGCCCACCAAGGCGACGAUCUGUAGCUGGUCUGAGAGGACGACCAGCCACACUGGAACUGAGACACGGUCCAGACUCCUACGGGAGGCAGCAGUGGGGAAUUUUGGACAAUGGGCGCAAGCCUGAUCCAGCAAUGCCGCGUGCAGGAUGAAGGCCUUCGGGUUGUAAACCUCUGUCCUUGGUGAAGAGAAGCGGGUGGUUAAUACCUGCCGAUAAUGACGGUACCCACAAAGGAAGCACCGGCUAACUCCGUGCCAGCAGCCGCGGUAAUACGGAGGGUGCAAGCGUUGUUCGGAAUUAUUGGGCGUAAAGCGCGUGUAGGCGGUUUGCUCAGUCAGAUGUGAAAGCCCUGGGCUCAACCUGGGAAGUGCAUUGGAUACUGGCAAACUUGAGUACGGGAGAGGAUAGUGGAAUUUCGAGUGUAGGGGUGAAAUCCGUAGAUAUUGGGAGGAACACCGACGGCGAAGGCAGGUUACCAACCCAUUACUGACGCUGAGGCACGAAAGCGUGGGGAUCAAACAGGAUUAGAUACCCUGGUAGUCCACGCCGUAAACGAUGGGUACUAGGUGUUGCGGGGGGUCAAAGCCCGGUGCCGAAGCUAACGCAUUAAGUACCCCGCCUGGGGAGUACGGUCGCAAGACUAAAACUCAAAGGAAUUGACGGGGGCCCGCACAAGCGGUGGAGCAUGUGGUUUAAUUCGACGCAACGCGAAGAACCUUACCUGGGCUUGACAUCCCGAUCGUACCUGGAAACAGUGGGGUCAGUUCGGCUGGAUCGGAGACAGGUGCUGCAUGGCUGUCGUCAGCUCGUGUCGUGAGAUGUUGGGUUAAGUCCCGCAACGAGCGCAACCCUUGUCCUUAGUUGCCAUCAUUUAGUUGGGCACUCUAAGGAGACUGCCGGUGUUAAACCGGAGGAAGGUGGGGAUGACGUCAAGUCCUCAUGGCCCUUAUGUCCAGGGCUACACACGUGCUACAAUGGCCGGUACAAAGGGUUGCGAUCCCGCGAGGUGGAGCCAAUCCCAAAAAGCCGGUCUCAGUUCGGAUUGGAGUCUGCAACUCGACUCCAUGAAGUUGGAAUCGCUAGUAAUCGCGGAUCAGCCAUGGCGCGGUGAAUACGUUCCCGGGCCUUGUACACACCGCCCGUCAAACCAUGGGAGUUGGUUGCACCAGAAGUAGGUAGUCUAACCGCAAGGAGGACGCUUACCACGGUGUGGCCGAUGACUGGGGUGAAGUCGUAACAAGGUAACC